AACGAACGCUGGCGGCAUGCCUAACACAUGCAAGUCGAACGAUUGCCUUCGGGCGAUAGUGGCGCACGGGUGCGUAACGCGUGGGAAUCUGCCCUUAGGUUCGGAAUAACAGCUGGAAACGGCUGCUAAUACCGGAUGAUAUCGCGAGAUCAAAGAUUUAUCGCCUGAGGAUGAGCCCGCGUUGGAUUAGGUAGUUGGUGGGGUAAAGGCCUACCAAGCCGACGAUCCAUAGCUGGUCUGAGAGGAUGAUCAGCCACACUGGGACUGAGACACGGCCCAGACUCCUACGGGAGGCAGCAGUGGGGAAUAUUGGACAAUGGGCGCAAGCCUGAUCCAGCAAUGCCGCGUGAGUGAUGAAGGCCCUAGGGUUGUAAAGCUCUUUUACCCGGGAAGAUAAUGACUGUACCGGGAGAAUAAGCCCCGGCUAACUCCGUG
RNAcentral lists this ribosomal RNA (435 nucleotides) under uncultured bacterium. Its description in RNAcentral is "partial 16S ribosomal RNA". It matches the Rfam family "Bacterial small subunit ribosomal RNA", at positions 29 to 507 of the family's 1533-position model. The record is from RNAcentral.